Molecule: ribosomal RNA, 1701 nt
Filed under: Thyrsites atun (snoek)
Lineage: Eukaryota; Metazoa; Chordata; Actinopteri; Scombriformes; Gempylidae
Description: 16S ribosomal RNA
Rfam family: Bacterial large subunit ribosomal RNA
Source: RNAcentral
UGCUAACCAGCUAGCCCACCAUAAACAAAAACAACACCUAGAUAUUUAUAACCCCAAACACACCUCCCCUAUAAAACAAAACAUUUUACCCCCUUAGUAUGGGCGACAGAAAAGGGACUAUCGGAGCAAUAGAGAAAGUACCGCAAGGGAACGCUGAAAGAGAAAUGAAAUAACCCAGUAAAGCCCCAAGAAGCAGAGAUUACCCCUCGUACCUUUUGCAUCAUGAUUUAGCUAGCAACACCCAAGCGAAGAGCACUUCAGUUUGAAACCCCGAAACUACGUGAGCUACUCCAAGACAGCCUAUCAAUAGGGCAAACCCGUCUCUGUGGCAAAAGAGUGGGAAGAUCUUUGAGUAGAGAUGACAGAUCUACCGAACCUAGUAAUAGCUGGUUGCCUGAGAAUUGGAUAGGAGUUCAGCCUCCAGUAUUUCUCCACUCAAUUCCGGCCUGACCAUGCCCGACACCUAAAGAAAUCUAGAGAGUUACUCAAAGGAGGUACAGCCCCUUUGAGACAAGAUACAACUUUCCCAGGAGGGUAAAGAUCACAAUAUUUAAGGCAAUAAUGCCCAGGUGGGCCUGAAAGCAGCCACCCCUACAGAAAGCGUUAAAGCUCGAGCAUUAAAUCUUCCGCCAUAUAUCCAGAUAACCCAAUCCUAACCCCCAAGCAUUAUCAGGCCUUCUCAUGCAGACAUGAGAGCGUACAUGCUAAUAUGAGUAAUAAGAGAAUAUUUAUCCUCUCUCCUUGCACACAUGUAAAUCGGAACGAAACCUCACCGAAACUUAACGGCCCCCAAACAAAGAGGGUAAUGAAUAAUAAGUAAAUAACUAGAAAACCAUACAACAUAAUAACCGUUAACCCCACACUGGUGUGCCAUUAAGGAAAGACUAAAAGAGAAAGAAGGAACUCGGCAAACAAAUGGAGCCUCGCCUGUUUACCAAAAACAUCGCCUCUUGCUAAUCAAGAAUAAGAGGUACCGCCUGCCCAGUGACAAUAUGUUCAACGGCCGCGGUAUUUUAACCGCGCCAAGGUAGCGCAAUCACUUGUCUCUUAAAUAGAGACCUGUAUGAAUGGCAUCACGAGGGCUCAACUGUCUCCUUUCUCAAGUCCAUGAAAUUGAUCUCCCCGUGCAGAAGCGGGGAUACAAACAUAAGACGAGAAGACCCUAUGGAGCUUUAGACACUAAGGCAUAUUGUGUCAAAUAACCCUAAAACAAAGGACUGAACUGAACGAACCAUGCCCCUCUGUCUUAGGUUGGGGCGACCCCGAGGAAACAAAAAACCCACGAGUGGAAUGGGAGCACUGACCUCCUACAACCAAGAGCUGCAGCUCUAACUAAUAGAAUUUCUAACCAAUAAUGAUCCGGCAAAGCCGAUUAACGAACCAAGUUACCCUAGGGAUAACAGCGCAAUCCCCUUCUAGAGUCCCUAUCGACAAGGGGGUUUACGACCUCGAUGUUGGAUCAGGACAUCCUAAUGGCGCAGCCGCUAUUAAGGGUUCGUUUGUUCAACGAUUAAAGUCCUACGUGAUCUGAGUUCAGACCGGAGUAAUCCAGGUCAGUUUCUAUCUAUGACAUGCUCUUUUCUAGUACGAAAGGACCGAAAAGAAGGGGCCAAUACUUAAGGCACGCCCCGUCCCUCCUAAUGAAAGCAACUAAAUUAGGGAAGAGGACAUAACCCCACCAAGCCAAAGAAAUAUGGCAUU